RNAcentral lists this ribosomal RNA (271 nucleotides) under uncultured archaeon. Its description in RNAcentral is "partial 16S ribosomal RNA". It matches the Rfam family "Archaeal small subunit ribosomal RNA", at positions 477 to 747 of the family's 1478-position model. The record is from RNAcentral.
CGGCGCCACGAGUGGGGAUCGCGAUUAUUGGGCCUAAAGCGUCCGUAGCCGGCUUUGUAAAUCCUUUGUGAAAUGGUUGGGCUUAACCCAACCACGGGCAGGGGAGACUGCAGAGCUAGAGACCGGGAGGGGCAUGAGGUAUUUUGUGGGGAGCGGUAAAAUGCUAUAAUCCACGAAGGACCACCGAUGGCGAAGGCAUCAUGCCAGAACGGAUCUGACGGUGAGGGACGAAAGCCAGGGGAGCGAACCGGAUUAGAUACCCGAGUAGUCC